This 253-nucleotide ribosomal RNA is filed under the name uncultured bacterium. RNAcentral's name for it is "partial 16S ribosomal RNA". It matches the Rfam family "Bacterial small subunit ribosomal RNA", at positions 524 to 776 of the family's 1533-position model. The record is from RNAcentral.
UACAGGGGGGGCAAGCGUUGUUCGGAAUUACUGGGCGUAAAGGGUGCGUAGGUGGCAUGGUAAGUCGGAUGUGAAAUCCCGGGGCUCAACCCCGGAACUGCAUUCGAUACUGCUGCGCUAGAGUACUGGAGAGGAGAUUGGAAUUUACGGUGUAGCAGUGAAAUGCGUAGAUAUCGUAAGGAAGACCAGUGGCGAAGGCGGAUCUCUGGACAGUUACUGACACUGAGGCACGAAGGCCAGGGGAGCAAACGGG